AGGAGGAACAACCCCAGUGGCGGCGGCCAGCUCUGGAGCCCUGGAUUCAGCCCCCGCAGUAACUCCAGAGCUCUCCGUCUGCAGGGCCUGGAGGCUCCGGGGCGGG
RNAcentral lists this microRNA precursor (106 nucleotides) under Canis lupus familiaris (dog). Its description in RNAcentral is "mir-8834 microRNA precursor family". It matches the Rfam family "mir-8834 microRNA precursor family". Lineage: Eukaryota; Metazoa; Chordata; Mammalia; Carnivora; Canidae. The record is from Rfam by way of RNAcentral.